CUACGGGCGGCUGCAGUGGGGAAUAUUGGACAAUGGGGGAAACCCUGAUCCAGCAAUGCCGCGUGUGUGAAGAAGGCCUGCGGGUUGUAAAGCACUUUCGGUUGGGAGGACUGCUUCUAGCACUAAUAUUGUUGGAAGUUGACGUUACCUUCAGAAGAAGCACCGGCUAACUCCGUGCCAGCAGCCACGGUAAUACGGAGGGUGCAAGCGUUAAUCGGAAUUACUGGGCGUAAAGCGCGCGUAGGCGGCUAGAUCAGUCGGGUGUGAAAGCCCCGGGCUUAACCUGGGAACUGCAUCCGAUACUGGCUAGCUUGAGUACAGGAGAGGAGAGUGGAAUUCCACAUGUAGCGGUGAAAUGCGUAGAUAUGUGGAGGAACACCAAUGGCGAAGGCAGCUCUCUGGCCUGAUACUGACGCUGAGGUGCGAAAGCGUGGGGAGCAAACAGGAUUAGAUACCCGUGUAGUC
This 465-nucleotide ribosomal RNA is filed under the name uncultured bacterium. RNAcentral's name for it is "partial 16S ribosomal RNA". It matches the Rfam family "Bacterial small subunit ribosomal RNA", at positions 339 to 795 of the family's 1533-position model. The record is from RNAcentral.